GUUAAACGGCCGCGGUAGCCUGACCGUGCUAAGGUAGCAUAAUCACUUGCCUCUUAAUUGGUGGCUGGAAUGAAAGGACACACGAGAGCUAAGCUGUCUCUUACUUACUAACUAAAAACUAACCUUUAAGUGAAAAGGCUUAAAUAAUUUUAUAGGACAAGAAGACCCUGUCAAGCUUUAUUACAAUGGGUUAUUAGUGCCAUUUAUCGAAUGCAUUAAAAUUUUUCAAAUAAUUUGUCAUAACAUUGAACGUAAUUUAGUUGGGGCGACUGGAGACCAAAACUAGCGUCUUCCCUUAUUAUAAGGGUAAUAACCCGUACAAACCUGAUCCAAAAUAGAACAAGAGACAAGCUACUGCAGGGAUAACAGGCUAAUUUUCCUCGAGAGUGCAAAUCGAAAGGAAAGUUUGGCACCUCGAUGUUGGCUUAAGACAACCGUAAAGUGCAGCAGCUUUAUAUGGUAGGUUUGUUCACCCUUUAAAGU
RNAcentral lists this ribosomal RNA (483 nucleotides) under Scoloplos normalis. Its description in RNAcentral is "partial 16S ribosomal RNA". It matches the Rfam family "Bacterial large subunit ribosomal RNA", at positions 1922 to 2594 of the family's 2925-position model. Lineage: Eukaryota; Metazoa; Annelida; Polychaeta; Orbiniidae. The record is from RNAcentral.